CCUACGGGUGGCAGCAGUGAGGAAUAUUGGUCAAUGGGCGAGAGCCUGAACCAGCCACGUCGCGUGAAGGAUGAAGGAUCUCUGGGUUGUAAACUUCUUUUAUAUGGGAAUAAAGUGAGGAACGUGUUCCUUUUUGUAUGUACAAUAUGAAUAAGCAUAGGCUAACUCCGUGCCAGCAGCCGCGGUAAUCCGGAGGAUGCGAGCGUUAUCCGGAUUUAUUGGGUUUAAAGGGUGCGUAGGUGGUGAUUUAAGUCAGCGGUGAAAGUUUGGGGCUCAACCAUAAAAUUGCCGUUGAAACUGGUUGACUUGAGUGUAGGUGAGGUAGGCGGAAUGCGUGGUGUAGCGGUGAAAUGCAUAGAUAUCACGCAGAACUCCGAUUGCGAAGGCAGCUUACUAAACUAUAACUGACACUGAAGCACGAAAGCGUGGGGAGCAAACAGGAUUAGAUACCCUAGUAGUC
Molecule: ribosomal RNA, 460 nt
Filed under: uncultured bacterium
Lineage: Bacteria
Description: partial 16S ribosomal RNA
Rfam family: Bacterial small subunit ribosomal RNA
Source: RNAcentral